RNAcentral lists this transfer RNA (69 nucleotides) under Anguilla anguilla (European eel). Its description in RNAcentral is "tRNA-Ala". It matches the Rfam family "tRNA". Rfam says of the family: Transfer RNA (tRNA) molecules are approximately 80 nucleotides in length. Their secondary structure includes four short double-helical elements and three loops (D, anti-codon, and T loops). The record is from RNAcentral. RNAcentral also lists the same sequence under 1 other name. Lineage: Eukaryota; Metazoa; Chordata; Actinopteri; Anguilliformes; Anguillidae.
AAGGCCUUAGCUUAAUUAAAGCACCUGGGUUGCAUUCAGGGUAUGUGGGAUAAAGUCCUGCAGGUCUUA